CUUUCAAUCGGUAUCUGGGAAAUUGCAACACGUAGAAAGAAGACAACAGCUCAAUACUCAUCUCCCCGAGGACAAGUUUACUUCAGUUUAAAAAAAAAAAAAAACACCACAGGGAGUGACUUCAGCAGUUCCCUUAGAUCUGGGUUUUUCUCACACACGCAGAAUUUGCUUUGGUGAAGGCAGCCAGGGAAGUCAGGAAGGAGACCACUCAACACGUAAAGAAUGUCAUGCUGUUUUCUUCCUACGGCUUCCUUCUAAUCUGGAGAUUCUCAAAGGGGGGAGAAAUGAAAGAAAAAAAAAAGGAAGAGAAACCAAAAAAUGUGGUAUUAAAGUCUAAAAGGAACAGAGAGAGUUUCUAAAAGGAACUAGUGGCAAAGUGAAAAAAUUCCCAGAUAGGGAAAAUAGGUUUAGAAAGAAUGCUGUUGUUAGUUUUAGCUAAAAGAAAGUUCCAGAAAACUCCUGAAAAAGCUUCAGUUUCUGUGCAGAAGGGAAGCUCACAGGGAGGAAGGCAAUCAUGUAAAUUGACUGAGUAACAGAAUAAAGGAGAGAGUUGAGAUGAAUGAUCGAAGCAGAAGUGAAUUAUUUUUCAAAGAAAUGGGAUGGCAUUUAUCUGAAAAUAACUAACAAAAUAAGCAUUUUGUUCCAUCAAUCUGUAUGUCUGUUACAUUGUUAACAUCACAGGGUCUAAAUUAUGGAACUCCAUACAUAGUAAAGCUUGAAAUCUGUA
Molecule: long non-coding RNA, 727 nt
Organism: Leopardus geoffroyi (Geoffroy's cat)
Lineage: Eukaryota; Metazoa; Chordata; Mammalia; Carnivora; Felidae
Exons: 3
Source: RefSeq, a predicted model, not a curated record